UAGACUUUAUUAAGUGACAGAAAGCGCUCAGUAAGGAGAGGGGACUCAAAAGUGGGUUGCCCUAGGGGAUUAAAAACCUCAUUUCUAGGGGUGUGUUUCUCAUUUGCAUCUUGCACAACCUUUUACUUCCUAGUUGCUUCCUGGUCCCAGUUCUUACUGCCCAGGUGCGUUCUUGUCCAUAGUUAUUCCAUCUUAAUUAUUAUGCAUAAGCACCACAGAAAGGCCCAGUGGGUAGUAGGGGUGGUGGUGGUGAAACCACAAUGCAGAUGUCAUGCUAAUGAUAUUAUAAUGAGCUUGAGUCAAGUUAAGGACAUUUAGUUGAUUUAUUACACCUGCGCCUAAGUUGGGACAGUCCCUUCUGAGCAAACAUUCUGGUAUAAGAGGAAGUUCUUAACCACAUUUCCAUCUGCUAGCUGCAUAACAGGGGCAAUGCAGGUGCAUUCCUGCAUGCAUUGUCUCUCUCAUGAAGCCCUACAUCUCCAUCGUACCACUUGCAUACAUAAAAAAGCUUGGUAGACACUUGUGCACUGUAUGAGUCCGUUUUCAUGCUCCUGAUAAAGACAUACCCCAGACUGAGAAGAAAAAGAGGUUUAAUUGGACUUACAGUUCCACAUGGCUGGAGAGGCCUCAGAGACAUGGUGGGAGGCAAAAAGCACUUCUUACAUAGCGGCAACAGGAGAAAAUGAGGAAGAAGCAAAAGCGGAAACGCUGAUAAACCCAUCAGAUCAGGGCUUCUGCAGUACUAUGCUGAACAGAAGAGGUGAAGGUAAGCAUCCUCAUCUUAUUCCUCAUCUUAUAGGAAAAGCUUUCACAUUUUCUCCAUUGAGGAUGAUGUUUAUUGUGGGCUUGUCAUACAUGAACUUUAUUAUGUUGAUGUACUUGCUUUCUAAACCUAGCUGUUGUGUGUUUUUAUCAUGAAAAGGUAUUGAAUUUUGUCAAAUACUUUUUUUGUAUUUAUUUACAUUAUCUUGUUAUUUUUAUCCUUCAUUCUAUUAAUGUGGUAUAUUGCAUUUGCUAAUUUGUAUAUGACGUUGAACCACCCUAAAGGUUCCUCAAAUAAAAACUUAGAACAAAUAAACAAAUUCAGUAAGGUUUCAGGAUACCAAAUCAAUGUACACAAAUCCACUGCAUUUCUAUUCACUAAAAGUAAAGCAUCUGAAAAGGAAAUUAAGAAAACAAUCCCAUGUACAAUGGCGUCAGAAAGAAUAAAAUGCUUGGUAAUAAACGUGACCAAGAAAGUGAAAUACUUGCUUCUUGAUAACUAUAAAACAUUGAUGAAAAAAAUUAAAGACACAAAUAAAUAAAAAACUUCCUCUGUGUUCAUGGAUUGAAUGACAAUAUUGAUCGGGUAUCCACACUAAACAAAGUAAUCUACAGAUUUAAAUUUAUUGCCAUCAAAUUCCCAAUGGCAUUUUUUAAAAUAUAAAAGCAAUUUGAAAUUCAUAUGGAACUACAAAAGAUCCAAAACACCCACAGAAAUCUUGAGACAGAGGAACAAAGCUGAAGGUAUCACACUUCCUGAUUUCAAAAUAUAUUAUAGAGCUACAGUAAUAAAACAGUAUGGUACAAGCAUAAAGACAAACAUAUAAACAAACAGAACAGAAUGGAGAGCCCAGAAAUAAACCCAUAUAUAUGGACAAGUGACCUGUGACACAGAUGCCAAGAAUACACAGUAGGGAAUGGAUACUCUCUUCAACAAAUGGCAUGAAGAAUAUCAGGUAUCAUGGAGUUUUCAGCCUUUUUGCGUGGGUUUUCCCUCAUGUUCAUGGAUUUAUC
RNAcentral lists this long non-coding RNA (1776 nucleotides) under Homo sapiens (human). RNAcentral's name for it is "HSALNT0297256". Lineage: Eukaryota; Metazoa; Chordata; Mammalia; Primates; Hominidae. The record is from RNAcentral.